AACGAACGCUGGCGGCAUGCCUAACACAUGCAAGUCGAACGAAACCUUCGGGUCUAGUGGCGCACGGGUGCGUAACGCGUGGGAACCUGCCCUUAGGUUCGGAAUAACUCCCCGAAAGGGGUGCUAAUACCGGAUAAUGUCUUCGGACCAAAGAUUUAUCGCAUUUGGAUGGGCCCGCGUUGGAUUAGCUAGUUGGUAGGGUAAAAGCCUACCAAGGCGACGAUCCAUAGCUGGUCUGAGAGGAUGAUCAGCCACACUGGGACUGAGACACGGCCCAGAAUCCUACGGGAUGCAGGAGUGGGGAAUAUUGGACAAUGGGCGAAAGCCCGAUCCAGCAAUGCCGCGUGAGUGAUGAAGGCAUUAGGGUUGUAAAGCUCUUUUACCCGGGAUGAUAAUGACAGUACCGGGAGAAUAAGCGACGGCUAACUCCGUG
Molecule: ribosomal RNA, 433 nt
Filed under: uncultured bacterium
Lineage: Bacteria
Description: partial 16S ribosomal RNA
Rfam family: Bacterial small subunit ribosomal RNA
Source: RNAcentral